This 585-nucleotide long non-coding RNA is filed under the name Pan troglodytes (chimpanzee). Its description in RNAcentral is "lncRNA (ENSPTRG00000052981.1)". The record is from RNAcentral. Lineage: Eukaryota; Metazoa; Chordata; Mammalia; Primates; Hominidae.
GAAGUCCAGAUACAGGCAAUUUAGGACUGAUGCAGAUGUUUGGUACUACCAUCAAGAACUGAUGCUCUUUCAAUAUUUCUUCUCUUCUAUCAUUGGCAUGUUGGCUUAAUCUUCAUGCUUCUCACCUCUUGCUUACAGAGUGGCUAAUGCUUAAUGCCUCAGGUCCCUACUGAGACAGGAGCAAGAGAUCAAGAAGAAAGGAAUAUAAGAAGAAUUCCAUUUAUGUUUAUUUGACCUCAUGGAGAGGGGAUUGGAUAAAUGGAAUUUUCACUCUUUACAGACUUUAAAGAAGAAUCAGAAAAUGGAGACUGGGAUUGGAAGCAGAGAUCCGAUGGCCAAAUUACAGAGUCUGCCACUGAAGCUAACACACCUAUGGAUAACCCAACCUGUAAACUCAAUGUGGAACACAGUUUGAGAAAAGAAGUGAGAAGAUUCAAUUUUGAAGUUGGAUCACUCUCCUACAGGCAAUGAAGACCACAUCACUGAUGGUAGGGUGAAUGUUCUCGUACCUCACAAAGUGGCAGUCCACUUCUUAAAACAUCCACUAUGCAUGGAGAAAACCAUGGUGAUAAGGAUAAUGGACUG